AGAUGGCGACCGACGCACGGGUGAGUAACACGUAUCCAACCUGCCGAUAACUCGGGGAUAGCCUUUCGAAAGAAAGAUUAAUACCCGAUGGUAUAAUCAGACCGCAUGGUUUGAUUAUUAAAGAAUUUCGGUUAUCGAUGGGGAUGCGUUCCAUUAGGCAGUUGGUGAGGUAACGGCUCACCAAACCUUCGAUGGAUAGGGGUUCUGAGAGGAAGGUCCCCCACAUUGGAACUGAGACACGGUCCAA
This 247-nucleotide ribosomal RNA is filed under the name uncultured bacterium. RNAcentral's name for it is "partial 16S ribosomal RNA". It matches the Rfam family "Bacterial small subunit ribosomal RNA", at positions 86 to 334 of the family's 1533-position model. The record is from RNAcentral.